CUCUUCUUCCAGAUAAACAACUAAACAUUCUUUUUUUUUCUUUUGUUUGAGUAUGGAUCAAGAAAACCAAUUGAUCCACAACACCUCAACAUGGAAGACAAGAAAACCCACCUGCCAUAUUCAAGCUUCAUACAUUCUUUUUUUUUCUUUUGUUUGAGUAUGGAUCAAGAAAACCAAUUGAUCCACAACACCUCAACAUGGAAGACAAGAAAACCCACCUGCCAUAUUCAAGCUUCAUUGUCCCUUCAACAAAAUGAUCACAGGCUCAAGUGUAACUCUUCAAAUAAAACAAGCAGUGAUGAGGAUGAUGAGGGCGAAGAGAA
This 323-nucleotide long non-coding RNA is filed under the name Lathyrus oleraceus (garden pea). RNAcentral describes it as "Pisum sativum (pea) long non-coding RNA (PSAT_LNC022525)". Lineage: Eukaryota; Viridiplantae; Streptophyta; Magnoliopsida; Fabales; Fabaceae. The record is from RNAcentral.